UUAAGCGACUAAGCGUACACGGUGGAUGCCCUGGCAGUCAGAGGCGAUGAAGGACGUGCUAAUCUGCGAAAAGCGUCGGUAAGGUGAUAUGAACCGUUAUAGCCGGCGAUGUCCGAAUGGGGAAACCCAGUGUGAUUCGUCACACUAUCGUUAACUGAAUACAUAGGUUAACGAGGCGAACCGGGGGAACUGAAACAUCUAAGUACCCCGAGGAAAAGAAAUCAACCGAGAUUCCCCCAGUAGCGGCGAGCGAACGGGGAGCAGCCCAGAGUCUGAAUCAGCUUGUGUGUUAGUGGAACGGUCUGGAAAGUCCGACGGUACAGGGUGAUAGUCCCGUACACCAAAAUGCACAGGUUGUGAACUCGAAGAGUAGGGCGGGACACGUGGUAUCCUGUCUGAAUAUGGGGGGACCAUCCUCCAAGGCUAAAUACUCCUGACUGACCGAUAGUGAACCAGUACCGUGAGGGAAAGGCGAAAAGAACCCCGGCGAGGGGAGUGAAAAAGAACCUGAAACCGUGUACGUACAAGCAGUGGGAGCACCUUCGGGUGUGACUGCGUACCUUUUGUAUAAUGGGUCAGCGACUUAUAUUCUGUAGCAAGGUUAACCGUAUAGGGGAGCCGCAGGGAAACCGAGUCUUAACUGGGCGUUAAGUUGCAGGGUAUAGACCCGAAACCCGGUGAUCUAGCCAUGGGCAGGUUGAAGGUUGGGUAACACUAACUGGAGGACCGAACCGACUAAUGUUGAAAAAUUAGCGGAUGACUUGUGGCUGGGGGUGAAAGGCCAAUCAAACCGGGAGAUAGCUGGUUCUCCCCGAAAGCUAUUUAGGUAGCGCCUCGUGAACUCAUCUUCGGGGGUAGAGCACUGUUUCGGCUAGGGGGUCAUCCCGACUUACCAACCCGAUGCAAACUACGAAUACCGAAGAAUGUUAUCACGGGAGACACACGGCGGGUGCUAACGUCCGUCGUGAAGAGGGAAACAACCCAGACCGCCAGCUAAGGUCCCAAAGUCAUGGUUAAGUGGGAAACGAUGUGGGAAGGCACAGACAGCCAGGAUGUUGGCUUAGAAGCAGCCAUCAUUUAAAGAAAGCGUAAUAGCUCACUGGUCGAGUCGGCCUGCGCGGAAGAUGUAACGGGGCUAAACCAUGCACCGAAGCUGCGGCAGCGACACGAUGUGUUGUUGGGUAGGGGAGCGUUCUGUAAGCCUGCGAAGGUGUGCUGUGAGGCAUGCUGGAGGUAUCAGAAGUGCGAAUGCUGACAUAAGUAACGAUAAAGCGGGUGAAAAGCCCGCUCGCCGGAAGACCAAGGGUUCCUGUCCAACGUUAAUCGGGGCAGGGUGAGUCGACCCCUAAGGCGAGGCCGAAAGGCGUAGUCGAUGGGAAACAGGUUAAUAUUCCUGUACUUGGUGUUACUGCGAAGGGGGGACGGAGAAGGCUAUGUUAGCCGGGCGACGGUUGUCCCGGUUUAAGCAUGUAGGCUGAUUGUCCAGGCAAAUCCGGAUAAUCAAGGCUGAGGUGUGAUGACGAGGCACUACGGUGCUGAAGUAACAAAUGCCCUGCUUCCAGGAAAAGCCUCUAAGCAUCAGGUAACAUCAAAUCGUACCCCAAACCGACACAGGUGGUCAGGUAGAGAAUACCAAGGCGCUUGAGAGAACUCGGGUGAAGGAACUAGGCAAAAUGGUGCCGUAACUUCGGGAGAAGGCACGCUGGUGUGUAGGUGAAGUCCCUGCGGAUGGAGCUGAGACCAGUCGAAGAUACCAGCUGGCUGCAACUGUUUAUUAAAAACACAGCACUGUGCAAACACGAAAGUGGACGUAUACGGUGUGACGCCUGCCCGGUGCCGGAAGGUUAAUUGAUGGGGUUAUCCGUAAGGAGAAGCUCUUGAUCGAAGCCCCGGUAAACGGCGGCCGUAACUAUAACGGUCCUAAGGUAGCGAAAUUCCUUGUCGGGUAAGUUCCGACCUGCACGAAUGGCGUAAUGAUGGCCAGGCUGUCUCCACCCGAGACUCAGUGAAAUUGAACUCGCUGUGAAGAUGCAGUGUACCCGCGGCAAGACGGAAAGACCCCGUGAACCUUUACUAUAGCUUGACACUGAACAUUGAGCCUUGAUGUGUAGGAUAGGUGGGAGGCUUUGAAGCGUGGACGCCAGUCUGCGUGGAGCCAACCUUGAAAUACCACCCUUUAAUGUUUGAUGUUCUAACGUUGGCCCCUGACCGGGGUUGCGGACAGUGUCUGGUGGGUAGUUUGACUGGGGCGGUCUCCUCCCAAAGCGUAACGGAGGAGCACGAAGGUUAGCUAAUCCUGGUCGGACAUCAGGAGGUUAGUGCAAUGGCAUAAGCUAGCUUGACUGCGAGCGUGACGGCGCGAGCAGGUGCGAAAGCAGGUCAUAGUGAUCCGGUGGUUCUGAAUGGAAGGGCCAUCGCUCAACGGAUAAAAGGUACUCCGGGGAUAACAGGCUGAUACCGCCCAAGAGUUCAUAUCGACGGCGGUGUUUGGCACCUCGAUGUCGGCUCAUCACAUCCUGGGGCUGAAGUAGGUCCCAAGGGUAUGGCUGUUCGCCAUUUAAAGUGGUACGCGAGCUGGGUUUAGAACGUCGUGAGACAGUUCGGUCCCUAUCUGCCGUGGGCGCUGGAGAAUUGAGGGGGGCUGCUCCUAGUACGAGAGGACCGGAGUGGACGCAUCACUGGUGUUCGGGUUGUCAUGCCAAUGGCACUGCCCGGUAGCUAAAUGCGGAAGAGAUAAGUGCUGAAAGCAUCUAAGCACGAAACUUGCCCCGAGAUGAGUUCUCCCUGAGACUUUAAGUCUCCUGAAGGAACGUUGAAGACGACGACGUUGAUAGGCCGGGUGUGUAAGCGCAGCGAUGCGUUGAGCUAACCGGUACUAAUGAACCGUGAGGCUUAACCU
This 2899-nucleotide ribosomal RNA is filed under the name Klebsiella pneumoniae. RNAcentral's name for it is "23S ribosomal RNA". It matches the Rfam family "Bacterial large subunit ribosomal RNA". The record is from RNAcentral. Lineage: Bacteria; Pseudomonadati; Pseudomonadota; Gammaproteobacteria; Enterobacterales; Enterobacteriaceae.